This 317-nucleotide small RNA is filed under the name uncultured bacterium. RNAcentral describes it as "bacterial SSU rRNA". It matches the Rfam family "Bacterial small subunit ribosomal RNA", at positions 59 to 350 of the family's 1533-position model. The record is from RNAcentral.
AGGCCUAAGAAAUAAAGUAGAACGGUAACAGGAAGAAGCUUGCUUCUUUGCUGUACCGUGGCGGACGGGUGAAUAAUGUCUGGGAAACUGCCUGAUGGAGGGGGAUAACUACUGGAAACGGUAGCUAAUACCGCAUAACGUCGCAAGACCAAAGAGGGGGACCUUCGGGCCUCUUGCCAUCGGAUGUGCCCAGAUGGGAUUAGCUAGUAGGUGGGGUAACGGCUCACCUAGGCGACGAUCCCUAGCUGGUCUGAGAGGAUGACCAGCCACACUGGAACUGAGACACGGUCCAGACUCCUACGGGAGGCAGCAGUGGG